GACGAACGCCGGCGGCGUGCUUAACACAUGCAAGUCGAACGGAAAGGCCCUGCUUUUGUGGGGUGCUCGAGUGGCGAACGGGUGAGUAACACGUGAGUAACCUGCCCUUGACUUUGGGAUAACUUCAGGAAACUGGGGCUAAUACCGGAUAGGAGCUCCUGCUGAAUGGUGGGGGUUGGAAAGUUUCGGCGGUUGGGGAUGGACUCGCGGCUUAUCAGCUUGUUGGUGGGGUAGUGGCUUACCAAGGCUUUGACGGGUAGCCGGCCUGAGAGGGUGACCGGCCACAUUGGGACUGAGAUACGGCCCAGACUCCUACGGGAGGCAGCAGUGGGGAAUAUUGCACAAUGGGCGGAAGCCUGAUGCAGCAACGCCGCGUGCGGGAUGACGGCCUUCGGGUUGUAAACCGCUUUCGCCUGUGACGAAGCGUGAGUGACGGUAAUGGGUAAAGAAGCACCGGCUAACUACGUG
RNAcentral lists this ribosomal RNA (468 nucleotides) under uncultured bacterium. RNAcentral's name for it is "partial 16S ribosomal RNA". It matches the Rfam family "Bacterial small subunit ribosomal RNA", at positions 28 to 507 of the family's 1533-position model. The record is from RNAcentral.